GACGGAGGGUGCUAGCGUUGUUCGGAAUUACUGGGCGUAAAGGGCGCGUAGGCGGCCCUGUCAGUCGGGUGUGAAAGCCCGGGGCUCAACCCCGGAACGGCACCCGAGACGGCGGGGCUGGAGACCGGGAGAGGAGGGUGGAAUAGCCAGUGUAGAGGUGAAAUUCGUAGAUAUUGGCUGGAACACCGGUGGCGAAAGCGGCUCUCUGGCCCGGUUCUGACGCUGAGGUGCGAAAGCGUGGGGAGCAAACAGG
This 253-nucleotide ribosomal RNA is filed under the name uncultured bacterium. RNAcentral describes it as "partial 16S ribosomal RNA". It matches the Rfam family "Bacterial small subunit ribosomal RNA", at positions 524 to 776 of the family's 1533-position model. The record is from RNAcentral.